UCCCUGGUGGCUCAGAGGUUAAAGCGUCUGCCCGCAAUGCAGGAGACCUAGGUUCGAUCCCUGGGUCGGGAA
This 72-nucleotide transfer RNA is filed under the name Bos taurus (domestic cattle). It matches the Rfam family "tRNA". Rfam says of the family: Transfer RNA (tRNA) molecules are approximately 80 nucleotides in length. Their secondary structure includes four short double-helical elements and three loops (D, anti-codon, and T loops). The record is from Rfam by way of RNAcentral. RNAcentral also lists the same sequence under 2 other names. Lineage: Eukaryota; Metazoa; Chordata; Mammalia; Artiodactyla; Bovidae.